This is a long non-coding RNA of Spinacia oleracea (spinach), 287 nucleotides long. RefSeq lists it as uncharacterized. The transcript is spliced from 2 exons. NCBI's taxonomy places the organism in Eukaryota, Viridiplantae, Streptophyta, Magnoliopsida, Caryophyllales, Amaranthaceae. The record is from RefSeq and is a predicted model, not a curated record.
AUACCAUCAAGUCUCACAAAAAUAUCCCGUAUUAUAAGAAAGCCUUACCCUCACACAUCUCAGCCGUCACAACCACUGUAUCAUCGUCAUUAUCAACCCCUCCUCGUCAGGUUGGUAAAGGUACUUGGCUAUGAGUGAGGAGACGCUUAGAAUAACCACCUAGUCAAGAGACAAUUUCUAUUUCAGUCUAAGUUGGAUUUGUUAUUUAUUUUUAUGGGAUUUGGUUGUAAUAUUUUUAUUGGCCACCUUUAGACCACUUAGUUAAUUUUGACUUUAAUGGUUUUAAA